GGUCAAGCGACAAAGUGCAUACGGUGGAUGCCUUGGCACAGACCGGCGAUGAAGGACGUGGCAAGCUGCGAAAAGCCUCGGGGAGUUGCAAGCAAGCUCAGAUCCGGGGGUGUCCGAAUGGGGAAACCCGGCGGGAGCAAUCCCGUCACCCUUAACAGGGAGCCAACCCAGGGAACUGAAACAUCUAAGUACCUGGAGGAAAAGAAAUCAAUCGAGAUUCCCAGAGUAGCGGCGAGCGAAAAGGGAAUAGCCCAAACCCGGGUGGGGAGACUCAACCGGGGGUUGUGGGGCCGCACAGGAAGUGAACCGAAGCAUAGCGGAACGGUACUGGAACGUACGACCGUAGAGGGUGAGAGUCCCGUACGCGAAAUGCGAGUAGGUGAUCUGGUGUGGACCCCGAGUAGGCCGGGACACGUGGAACCCUGGCUGAAUCCGGGAGGACCAUCUUCCAAGGCUAAAUACGAGUCUGUGACCGAUAGCGGAUAGUACCGUGAGGGAAAGGUGAAAAGAACGCCUGACGGCGAGUGAAAUAGAUCCUGAAACCGUGUGCAUACAAGCGGUCGGAGCCCGACCCGGAUCUUCGGAUUACCGGGGGUGGGUGACGGCGUGCCUUUUGCAUUAUGAUCCGGCGAGUUACUCCUCAUGCGCGAGGUUAAGGGCUUAUGGUCCGGAGCCGAAGCGAAAGCGAGUCUGAAUAGGGCGAUGAGUGCAUGGGGGUAGACCCGAAACCGACGCGAUCUAUCCAUGGCCAGGGUGAAGCUGGGGUAACACCUGGUGGAGGCCCGAACCGUUGUGGGUUGAAAACUGCUCGGAUGAGCUGUGGAUAGGGGUGAAAGGCCAAUCAAGCUCGGAGAUAGCUGGUUCUCCCCGAAAUAUAUUUAGGUAUAGCCUCAGGGGAUUAUCUCGAGGAGGUAGAGCACUGGAUGGGCUAGGGGCCUCACCAGGUUACCGAACCCAACCAAACUCCGAAUGCCUCAGAGACGUAUCCUGGGAGUCAGUGGGCGGGCGAUAAUGUCCGUCCGCGAGAGGGAAAGAGCCCAGACCGUCAGCUAAGGCCCCCAAAUCUGUGCUAAGUGAGAAAGGAUGUGGAUGUGCAGAGACAACUAGGAGGUUGGCUUAGAAGCAGCCAUUCCUUUAAAGAGUGCGUAAUAGCUCACUAGUCAAGUGGAUCCGCGCCGAUAAUGGUCGGGACUCAAGCACAGUGCCGAAGCUACGGAUGACGCAAGUCAUGGUAGGGGAGCAUUCCCUGGUCAGUGAAGCGGACUCGGAAGAGCAUCCGUGGAGAGCAGGGAAGAGAGUAUGCCGGAAUGAGUACGCGAUAAACAGGGUGAGAAUCCCUGUCACCGAAAGCCUAAGGGUUCCGGAGCCAGGCUUAUCCGCUCCGGGUUAGUCGGUCCCUAAGCCGAGGCCGAAGGGCGUAGGCGAUGGGAAACAGGUCAAUAUUCCUGUACCGUUCAAGUAGCGUUUGACCAUGAGGGGGGACGCGGAAGUGACAGGACCGUCGGGUGGUGGAAUAUCCGAUGUAAGGUGGUAGGCGAUGAGGGGGGAGAAAAGACUCCUUUAGCCGAGCGCCGAUGCCGAAGGGAAAUUGCUCCCUACAAAGGGUCCGUAACCAUGCCGCCGAGAAAAGCCUCGCAUGGGAGGUGCUUGGACGACCGUACCGCAAACGGACACACGUAGGCGAGGCGAGUAGCCUAAGGUGCUCGAGUGAUCCGCGGAGAAGGAACUCGGCAAAAUGUCCCCGUAACUUCGGGAGAAGGGGAGCCUGUGGUAGGUGAACCACGACGCGUGGGGAGCCGAAGCAGGCCGCAGAGAAUCGGCCCAAGCGACUGUUUAUUAAAAACACAGGUGUCUGCAAAGUCGGUUAAGACGACGUAUAGGCACUGACGCCUGCCCGGUGCCGGAAGGUAAAAGGAAGGGGUUAGAGGCAACUCGAAGCUCUGAACUGAAGCCCCGGUAAACGGCGGCCGUAACUAUAACGGUCCUAAGGUAGCGAAAUUCCUUGUCGGGUAAGUUCCGACCUGCACGAAUGGCGCAACGAUCUGGGCGCUGUCUCGACGAGGGGCACUGCGAA
RNAcentral lists this ribosomal RNA (2074 nucleotides) under Gemmatimonadota bacterium. RNAcentral describes it as "Gemmatimonadetes bacterium partial 23S ribosomal RNA". It matches the Rfam family "Bacterial large subunit ribosomal RNA", at positions 1 to 2040 of the family's 2925-position model. Lineage: Bacteria; Pseudomonadati; Gemmatimonadota. The record is from RNAcentral.